Molecule: transfer RNA, 74 nt
Filed under: Anaerolineae bacterium
Lineage: Bacteria; Bacillati; Chloroflexota; Anaerolineae
Description: tRNA-Pro
Rfam family: tRNA
About the family: Transfer RNA (tRNA) molecules are approximately 80 nucleotides in length. Their secondary structure includes four short double-helical elements and three loops (D, anti-codon, and T loops). Further hydrogen bonds mediate the characteristic L-shaped molecular structure. tRNAs have two regions of fundamental functional importance: the anti-codon, which is responsible for specific mRNA codon recognition, and the 3' end, to which the tRNAs corresponding amino acid is attached (by aminoacyl-tRNA synthetases). tRNAs cope with the degeneracy of the genetic code in two manners: having more than one tRNA (with a specific anti-codon) for a particular amino acid; and 'wobble' base-pairing, i.e. permitting non-standard base-pairing at the 3rd anti-codon position.
Source: RNAcentral
CGGGGCGUAGCGCAGCUGGCUAGCGCGCACGGUUUGGGUCCGUGAGGUCCCCGGUUCAAAUCCGGGCGCCCCGA